Molecule: long non-coding RNA, 264 nt
Organism: Empidonax traillii (willow flycatcher)
Lineage: Eukaryota; Metazoa; Chordata; Aves; Passeriformes; Tyrannidae
Exons: 3
Source: RefSeq, a predicted model, not a curated record
GUACAAACUGGACACAGUCGACGUUCAGUUCAAGAAGACAGAGCUCUUCCAGAUAGAGACAAGCACUUUCCAGAUGUUCAAUACAGGGAAGGUAGCCCUGAAAUACUCCUGGGAGGUGACUCUGGAGGAGAAAGGACCAUUGAAGCGUGCUGGGAAGCCGUUCUCGAAAACUCUGAUGAGUUGUUUCUUGCCCUCUGCUGCUGCGGAGCAGAGGCUCAAGCCUCAUGCAAAGCAGGUGCAAUGGGCAUCACCGCUCGAGUCAAC